GGUUUAUUAGUCAUAGGCACACUGAAAAGGGAUGUGUCCAUGGUCUUAUAUUUGACAGAAAGCUGUCAGCGGUCAGGGAUACCAUAUUGACCCUGGUGGACACUGAUCGGCUCAUAGACGGACAUGGCUAACCAGAAGAAGCUGAUAGACGAGCUCUGUGGGAUUGUUACUUCUUUUCUAUGUCCCCAGGGGAUUGUGCCAGAGAUUGAAAAAUGUUCUACAAAGCUGCCUCAUUUUUCUAAAGGUGGAACAAAGCCUGUGUGCACAGUGAGGCUCCAGCAUGGCCACACUUAUCACAUUGAGUUUGUGUACAAGUUUUGGCAGCACAUUUUGGGCCAGCUUCGCCUGCCCCUACAGCCUUGCUUUAUUUUGACAAAUAACGGCUUGGCCACCACUUUGAAAUGUUUUAUGAGCCCGCCAAGGGAUAUAGACUUUCAGUAUGGCAACAGGGUCAAUAUGGCCUGCGAUGUGAAUUUGGAGAAAAACUCUUGUGUUAUCAUAGAGGACGAGGAUUUCCUGAGGUUCAAGAGCUACCAUGUGUUUCCCAAGGACGUACCAAUCUAUAACUCUAUGGUGGUAUGUAGAACCUACAUCACUGAUAUGAGGAACGCAGUACAAUUUUUUGUGGUCAAGCCUGGAAACAGGAGAAAGAUUGUGCAUAUGUUGGAAAGUAUUGAGGAGAUGCCUGAAACCCCACAACAGUUGUAUUUUUGUGGUGGACGUGGGUAUAAGAUGAUAGGGGCUGGGCUCUCCCUCUUCUUUUUUGCAGCCAUAGUGGCGCUGGCCAGUAAACUAGUAUGGUGAUGGGGGCCUUGGACUAUCUGCGCUUGAUGAAUAUUUCAGUGGAUGAGUUUAGAAGCUUUUGUAUCUAUGGCCACCUCAGUGGGCAGCGUGGAUGGGGUGAGCUGUUGUUGAGCAAUCUUUCAUUUAAAAGAGCAGUGUGCCAUAUACUGAAAAUACAGUGUGAGACUAAGAAGAGGUGGACAAACAAGGUAUUGGUGGCGAAUAGUGCGUUGUCCCUACUGACCCUCUUCAGGAUGGUUCUUCAUGAAUGUGUUUUUUCACACAAAUAUUUUAUACCUGACAGGAUCGAGGACAUGUGUUUCCCGCUGACCAAAAUACUCACUGUGCCCUUCCUCAAGGCCCUAGAUCUGUAUCUCUCCCAGUUUUCCAUCUCAUGCAAGUUUCCCAUAAUUAAAAUAUCCACUGUGAAUCCUACCCUUCUGGCGUUUACCAAGAAGAAAUAUCUGGCUAGUGUUGUGUCUGAUCAACCCAUCGAGGUCCCUGCUCCAUCUGCCCGGCCUGAUCCUGUGAGGUUUACUGCUGCGGUGCCCUUAGCUUCUGAUGAGCAGUCUCUGGUGAAAGCUUUACAUUCCAGUACCGGGACAGUCCAGUGUGGAAAUCCAUUUUAUUAUAUGAUGACCAGACUUUGCUUGUAUGGACUAAUGCAUGGUAGGGGGGGAAUUGUGCCAGUUUCCAGCUCUAGUAAGCAGAGUGUAUAUGAUGUGGCUAUAAGAUUUAUAGGUUCUAGGAUAUUGAGCCCGAUAGUGAGGCUGCCAAUUUUAUCCAGGGCUUUGGCAGACCUGGCGCUGACGGGGCACGGUCAUCAGAUAACAGUGUGUAAUGAAUGUGGCCACUGUUUAAAUUUGGGCAGGGAUAAAUUUCUUGCAGUAAAUUUUUCCCCCACAAGUAUGUUUUAUUGCAGAGAUCAAAAGGAGAAACAGUUUAACAUAUGUGCUACAACUGGGAGGAUCUAUUGUUCAUAUUGUGGGGCGACAGAGUUUACAGUGUAUGACAUGGUGGGAAGGUAUGCUACGGGGGAGCCUUUUAUUAGGGCGGUUUCCUCAGCUAACUCCCUUAGUAUUUUAGAUAAUAGCGAACAGGAGUGUGAUAUACUGAUCCCUUGUUUUGGUAAAUCUAGGUCUUGCAGUAUUAAGCUGAGGGCGACAUUUAGGGAGCUACUUUAUUUGACAGCGUCUGUUGAUAAUUUUAUUUGUCAAAAGUGUUCCAAUAAGGGUGAUGAAU
RNAcentral lists this non-coding RNA (2025 nucleotides) under synthetic construct. The record is from RNAcentral.